AGUGAACGCUGGCGGUAGGCCUAACACAUGCAAGUCGAACGGCAGCACAGUAAGAGCUUGCUCUUACGGGUGGCGAGUGGCGGACGGGUGAGGAAUACAUCGGAAUCUACUUUUUCGUGGGGGAUAACGUAGGGAAACUUACGCUAAUACCGCAUACGACCUACGGGUGAAAGCAGUGGAUCUUCGGACCUUGCGCGAUUGAAUGAGCCGAUUUCGGAUUAGCUAGUUGGCGGGGUAAAGGCCCACCAAGGCGACGAUCCGUAGCUGGUCUGAGAGGAUGAUCAGCCACACUGGAACUGAGACACGGUCCAGACUCCUACGGGAGGCAGCAGUGGGGAAUCUUGGACAAUGGGCGCAAGCCUGAUCCAGCCAUACCGCGUGGGUGAAGAAGGCCUUCGGGUUGUAAAGCCCUUUUGUUGGGAAAGAAAAGCAGCAGGUUAAUACCCCGCUGUUCUGACGGUACCCAAAGAAUAAGCACCGGCUAACUUCGUG
Molecule: ribosomal RNA, 492 nt
Filed under: uncultured bacterium
Lineage: Bacteria
Description: partial 16S ribosomal RNA
Rfam family: Bacterial small subunit ribosomal RNA
Source: RNAcentral